GAUUGAAAUCUCCAACUUUUGCUAGGGUUCUUGUACACCCACAUCUAAAACAAGACAGAUGAAAUCCAAAAAAUUUGAUAAUGCAUGUUGGAUUUGAGCUACAAACUAGAAUGGAUAAGUAUCUUCAAGCAAGGUAUGAUUGUCCAACCCCACAAACCUGAAUGUGGGUGUUAUUAUGUGUUCUAGACAUGUAAUUGGUUGAUGUAACCAUAAAUGAUGCAAGCUUUUUCUUAUUGAUUUAUUUAUGUUUGUAUGCUAAUGUGUUGGAAUAAUGAUUAACAAAGGUUAAUUAGUUACUAGUCUUAAAGAAUCAUGGUUCAUGAAUGCUAAUGGUAGAAUUAUGUAGGCUAUGUAUGUUUACAUGGAUCUUUUACUAGGAUGCACACCAAGUGUUUGUAGAAAUGCCUUUAAGAAGGUGAAAGUUAGAAUUUGUUGAAGUUGAAUUAGUUGUUGCCCUGUUUUAGAAAAUUUGUGUAAAAUCAUAGAAAUUUCAUGUAAAUAUGAUACUUAUAUGCUUAGAAAGCCCUUUGAGUUUAUUCUAUUUCAUGUUUGAGCACAAAGACUUGGUUUGAAUGUUAAACGGAUCAAAAUACAUGGUUUUUAGCAUCAACUCAGAACUUUCAACAAUGCUGAUUGAAAGAAUUUAUGCUGCUGGCCUGUUUUUGAAAACUUCAUAUAAAAUCAACCAUAGCUCGCUUUAAGGCGUAAGAUAUAUAGUUAGAAAGCUAUCCGAAGCUACGACGUUUUAUACUUAGGGGUGAAAAUGAGGCGAGAACAGCUGCUACACAAAAAGUGCAGCAGUGAAAAAAAUGUGUUUCAUGAAAUUAACACGAAUGAUUGUCUAGAUACCCAUUGCCUAAACACUAAAUGUUAUUUUGGAUGAAUGAUUACAAUUGUUAAGGUGUGUUGAAAAUGUUUAUAUACCUAAGAAUUGAUUGUGCAAGUAUUCACUUAAAUAAGUCAAACAAAUUAUUAUAUAGUCAAUAAUAUAGUAAAGAAGUAUUAUUGUAGAUGAAUACAAGAGAAAGCAAGUGGAUUAUUAUCAAUGUAUUUGAAUGGCUUGUACAACUACAAGGUGUAUGUAUUCUAAUGAUUGAAGGAAUGAACUUGUUGCCAAGUUAGGUGUGGCAAAGCUUGGAAGACAACAUGGCGAACAAGUAGAAAUGAUGACGACUUUCGUACGGGCCAAGUAUCAAGCUGCAGGUUUUGUGACGAGACUAAGGACGGAUUUUUGACAUAAAAGUUUUAUCAAAUGUGGUAAGGAAUAAUUGUAUGAUUUUGAAGGUAACUUGCUAUAAGAGAUAAAGGUAUACGAGUAUUGAAGCUAAAAUUUAUGACAUUGAAGAUCGAGUCUGAAGUUUGGAUUGUACGAGUUGGGCAAGGAUUAGUUGGUUCAUAAGUAGACUAUGAACACUCUUCAAGGAAGGAUUGUAACACCUAGCUAAUAGUAUUAAAGAAAUACAAUUGGCAAUUGAUAUUAAGUGUAAAUUGUCAAACGAUUUUUUUGGGAUCAAUUUCCGCUGCUAAAUAAAUAUAGAAAUCUUGUU
RNAcentral lists this long non-coding RNA (1547 nucleotides) under Helianthus annuus (common sunflower). RNAcentral describes it as "hypothetical non coding rna". The record is from RNAcentral. Lineage: Eukaryota; Viridiplantae; Streptophyta; Magnoliopsida; Asterales; Asteraceae.